AGGCUGGUAGUCAUCAGUCCUCUUAUGCCUGGUGCUCUGUCCCAAGGUAUGGCAUCACAGUGACCCUGGAUUCCACUGGUGAAGGCCAUCGGAGUCCAUGGAAGAUGGGGACAGGAUGGGAAAGAACGGGUUGGCAAGUGGCUCUCCAUGGAAAGAAAGGUCUUCUCUACCUGACUACAAGCCUCCUGAAGGUACUUUCUUGCACCCAGCACCACGCCCAAGACAUGUCAGGCACUCAACAAUGGUCUGUUGAGAGAGUGAAGAGCUUUAUGAGGAACUACAUACAUAUCCUGAUGUCGAUGAGGCCACUGCACACAAGCACAUGAAGACAUCCCCACAACUGGCAGUGGGCACAACAAGCUAAUACUUGGCUCUGCUUUUAUUUAUUGAGCAGCUAUUUAUGAAGCAUCUACCAUAUAUCAGGCGUGGUGCUAGGCAGCACACAUAUGGUACUGGGAAGAAAAAAAAAAGAAAGAUCUCUACAUUAUUCUGAGGGGGGAGGUGGACAAAUCAAUAAAACUAUGCAGUAAGGAAGUCAGAAAAAAACAGGUUCCAAGGACAAAGGCAAUAGGACAGGGGUUGCCACUGUUAAUAAGGUGGUUGGGGAAUGCUCACUGGAGCCACAAUGGAAUCUUUUCAGAAGGAAACAGAGGGCAGAGAUAAACCUUAUGAGAAAGUGUGACAAAUGCAAAGGCCCAAGACACCACUUGUGCGUGUGUGUGUGUGUGUUUGCUACAUUAAUGCAGAAGACAGGGAAGGAAACGUUAGAAGACAAUGGAAUAUUCUUCAGCCAUCAAGAGGAAUGCAGUCCUAAUUCAUGCUAAAACAUGGAUGACCCUUGAAAACACUCUUCUAAGUGGAAGAAGCCAGACUCAAAGGAUACAGAUUCUAGGAUUCUACUCACAUGAAGUGUCUAGGAGAGGUGAAUCCACAUAGACAGAAGGUUUGUGAUGAGCUGUGUGCUCUCUGGGGGUGACAAGACCACAGCAGAACCAUGGCUCAGGAUAUGGAAGUGGAAGAAGCACUGGCUGAAGCUUUGAAACGAUCUUUCUCAUGAGGAGGACUGGUAAACAGACCACCCAGUGGUGGAAGCUAAGAGAAGGGUCAAGAGCAGUCUCAAUAGGCUAGCCCGAGUCCCGGUCUGCUGUGAUAACCCUGGUUGGUCUGAUGUCACGAUGCGAUUGCUCACCAGUGUCCUCAUUCAUCAUCUGAAGUUCCUGGUCUUGAUAUUAAAAUCCUAUGGUCACCAAAAUACAAAUACUCUGUGAUCCCACUUAGAUGAAGUUCCCAGAGUGGUCAAACUCAUUGAAAUGCAAAGUAGAAGAGGGGGUCCCAGGUGUUGGAGGGUGGGUUGUUGUCAAAGGGGACAGACUUUCAGUCUUGCACGGCAUGGAAGUUCUGGAGAUUGGUU
Long non-coding RNA from Canis lupus familiaris (dog), 1411 nucleotides. RefSeq lists it as uncharacterized. Lineage: Eukaryota; Metazoa; Chordata; Mammalia; Carnivora; Canidae. The record is from RefSeq and is a predicted model, not a curated record. The transcript has 4 exons.